Papaver somniferum (opium poppy) is the source of this 226-nucleotide long non-coding RNA. RefSeq lists it as uncharacterized. Lineage: Eukaryota; Viridiplantae; Streptophyta; Magnoliopsida; Ranunculales; Papaveraceae. The transcript is spliced from 3 exons. The record is from RefSeq and is a predicted model, not a curated record.
GAAAAAGAUGGUGCGUCAUUAUGAUUUACGAGGAGAAUAUUUGUUUUCUGUUUCCAGAUUGCAGAUUCUGUUGGGGCUUUUCUCAUGAUGGAUAUGGCUCACAUAAGUGGUCUCGUUGCUGCAUCUGUACUUGCCGAACCAUUUGAAUAUUGUGAUGUUGUAACAACCACCACUCACAAGUCAUUACGAGGUCCCAGAGGUGGCAUGAUUUUCUUCAAGAAAGAUC